Molecule: ribosomal RNA, 301 nt
Filed under: uncultured bacterium
Lineage: Bacteria
Description: partial 16S ribosomal RNA
Rfam family: Bacterial small subunit ribosomal RNA
Source: RNAcentral
CAGUCGCCGCGGUAAUACGAAGGGUGCAAGCGUUGUCCGGAUUUAUUGGGUUUAAAGGGUGCGUAGGCGGCCUAAUAAGUCAGUGGUGAAAGCCUCCAGCUUAACUGGAGAACUGCCAUUGAUACUGUUAGGCUUGAGUAUACUUGAGGUAGGCGGAAUUGACAGUGUAGCGGUGAAAUGCGUAGAUAUUGUCAAGAACACCAAUUGCGAAGGCAGCUUACUAAAUUAUAACUGACGCUGAGGCACGAAAGUGUGGGUAUCAAACAGGAUUAGAUACCCCAGUAGUCCCUGUCUCUUAUAA